Molecule: transfer RNA, 75 nt
Filed under: Scleropages formosus (Asian bonytongue)
Lineage: Eukaryota; Metazoa; Chordata; Actinopteri; Osteoglossiformes; Osteoglossidae
Description: tRNA-Ala
Source: RNAcentral
AGCAGGUGGUGUAGUGGUUAGAACUGUUGCUUUGCGAUCAAAAGAUUUGGGUUCAAAUCCCAGCUCUCACUGUUA